This 279-nucleotide ribosomal RNA is filed under the name uncultured bacterium. RNAcentral's name for it is "partial 16S ribosomal RNA". It matches the Rfam family "Bacterial small subunit ribosomal RNA", at positions 506 to 784 of the family's 1533-position model. The record is from RNAcentral.
UGCCAGCAGCCGCGGUAAUACGGAGACUGCGAGCGUUACUCGGAUUCACUGGGCGUAAAGGGUGCGUAGGCGGACAAGUGUGUCAGGUGUGAAAGCCCAGAGCUCAACUCUGGAACUGCGCCUGAAACUGCUUGUCUUGAGUGUCGGAGAGGUAAGCGGAAUUCCUAGUGUAGCGGUGAAAUGCGUAGAUAUUAGGAGGAACACCAAAGGCGAAGGCAGCUUACUGGACGAAUACUGACGCUGAGGCACGAAAGCGUGGGGAGCUAAAAGGAUUCGAUA